Molecule: non-coding RNA, 234 nt
Organism: Candidatus Thiomargarita nelsonii
Lineage: Bacteria; Pseudomonadati; Pseudomonadota; Gammaproteobacteria; Thiotrichales; Thiotrichaceae
Source: Rfam
GUAAACAACCCCUAAGCCCUUCGGGACUUAGGGGCUUUUAAGGAAACUUAAAAGCCCAUGUUUACCAGACAACUAAUAGGAGUGCCGAAAAUUAGUAGCCGAUAUAGCAGAAAUAGGUACGUUGAGAUGCCGUCUCAGUCUCAACCACUACGGUUAUGCAUUAAACAGUCCUGUGAGGUAGGGACAGUGUGUAUAGCGCUAAACCUGCCAAUAUCUUGUCGAGAGAAAGUCGGA